This is a long non-coding RNA of Salmo salar (Atlantic salmon), 1052 nucleotides long. RefSeq lists it as uncharacterized. The record is from RefSeq and is a predicted model, not a curated record. NCBI's taxonomy places the organism in Eukaryota, Metazoa, Chordata, Actinopteri, Salmoniformes, Salmonidae.
ACAGACAGACUAUUUUAUACUGUUGUAAAUACCUUAUACUGUAAAUCAGUGAUCCAAGAUGAAAAUUUAAUUAUCUUCAGUAGAUUAUACUCCUAACCCAGGACUGUCAAUCCCUAUUGUAUUAUACUGGUACUUCAGUACUAUCAAUCCCUAUUGUAUUAUACUAGUACUUCAGUACAAUCAGUCCCUAUUGUAUUAUACUAGCACUUCAGGACGAUCGGUCCCUAUUGUAUUAUACUAGUACUUCAGUACUAUCAAUCCCUAUUGUAUUAUACUAGUACUUCAGGACGAUCAGUCCCUAUUGUAUUAUACUGGUACUUCAGUACUAUCAAUCCCUAUUGUGUUAUACUAGUACUUCAGUACUAUAAGUCUUUAUUAUAUUAUUCUAGUACUUCAGAACUAUUAGGGUGGUACUGCGAGUGCUCUGUGUGUGAAGGUGCUCACUCUUGUGUGAAAGAGGUUUUGGUACGGCGAAUUCACCAGAAUGUAUCACCGUGGUGGACUUUUGGAAGCGGCACAAAACUGGUGCUGAAAACUGGUCCCUCUGUCAGGCCCACAGUGUCUCUGCUCCCCCCGUCCUCUGAGCAGCUCUCUGGGGGCUCGGCCACACUGGCCUGCCUGCUGAGUGGCUACUCCCCCCAGGGGGCGAUGGUGAGCUGGGAGGUGGACGGAGCAGAGGUGAAGGAGGGGAUCCUGACCACCACAGAAGAAGAGAAGGGUGGCCGCUACAGCCGCAGCAGCACCCUGACCCUAAGCAAGGCAUCCUGGGAAGAGGGAGAGGUGUACACCUGUAGGGUCGCCCAUGAUGACACCAGUGAUGCGGCAGACUUACGUAAAAGUCACUGUAGUGUCUAGAGACCGGAGAAGCCAUUGUAAGGGGUUAGAGAGUCCCCACAUAGUUCUGGAAACAUUAGUAUUUUAGAGCUGAAUGUUACAGUAUAAUAGUGAAUAAUAUCAGUAGUGCUGUAUGAUAAAUGAACUAUUUUGAGACUCAGUUGUUCAUGUCUUCUUGCCUAUGAAUUAAAAUAAAGCUUGUUUUGAUUGAAAACUAA